GAUGAAGAACGCAGCGAAAUGCGAUAAGUAGUGUGAAUUGCAGAAUUCAGUGAAUCAUCGAAUCUUUGAACGCACCUUGCACCCUUUGGCAUUCCGAAGGGUAUGCUCGUUUGAGUGUCAUUGUACUCUCACUCUCCCGAUGCUUUUGGAUCGGGAGUGGUGGACUUGGGUGUUGCUGCUUUGCUGUGGCUCGCCUCAAAUGGAGUAGUGCAACUCUUGGUUGGACAUAGUACGGCGUGAUAAGUGUCUUCGCCGGCGCCUCAUUAUAGAGGGUGGCCGAUCGGGAGCUCUGUGCUUCAAACCGUCUUCGGACAACAUCUGACAACUUGACCUCAAAUCGAGUAGGACUACCCGCUGAACUUAAGCAUAUCAAUAAGCGGAGGA
This 384-nucleotide unclassified non-coding RNA is filed under the name soil metagenome. RNAcentral describes it as "partial contains 5.8S ribosomal RNA, internal transcribed spacer 2, and large subunit ribosomal RNA". The stretch from base 1 to 120 matches the Rfam family "5.8S ribosomal RNA", at positions 35 to 154 of the family's 154-position model. The record is from RNAcentral.